UGUUUCGGCUAGGGGGCCAUCCCGGCUUACCAACCCGAUGCAAACUGCGAAUACCGGAGAAUGUUAUCACGGGAGACACACGGCGGGUGCUAACGUCCGUCGUGAAGAGGGAAACAACCCAGACCGCCAGCUAAGGUCCCAAAGUCAUGGUUAAGUGGGAAACGAUGUGGGAAGGCCCAGACAGCCAGGAUGUUGGCUUAGAAGCAGCCAUCAUUUAAAGAAAGCGUAAUAGCUCACUGGUCGAGUCGGCCUGCGCGGAAGAUGUAACGGGGCUAAACCAUGCACCGAAGCUGCGGCAGCGACACUCAGGUGUUGUUGGGUAGGGGAGCGUUCUGUAAGCCUGUGAAGGUGUGCUGUGAGGCAUGCUGGAGGUAUCAGAAGUGCGAAUGCUGACAUAAGUAACGAUAAAGCGGGUGAAAAGCCCGCUCGCCGGAAGACCAAGGGUUCCUGUCCAACGUUAAUCGGGGCAGGGUGAGUCGACCCCUAAGGCGAGGCCGAAAGGCGUAGUCGAUGGGAAACGGGUUAAUAUUCCCGUACUUGGUGUUACUGCGAAGGGGGGACGGAGAAGGCUAUGUUGGCCGGGCGACGGUUGUCCCGGUUUAAGCGUGUAGGUGUGUGUUCCAGGUAAAUCCGGUUCACUUUAACACUGAGGCGUGAUGACGAGGCACUACGGUGCUGAAGCAACAAAUGCCCUGCUUCCAGGAAAAGCCUCUAAGCAUCAGGUAACAUCAAAUCGUACCCCAAACCGACACAGGUGGUCAGGUAGAGAAUACCAAGGCGCUUGAGAGAACUCGGGUGAAGGAACUAGGCAAAAUGGUGCCGUAACUUCGGGAGAAGGCACGCUGACAUGUAGGUGAAGUGAUUUACUCA
Molecule: ribosomal RNA, 870 nt
Filed under: Salmonella enterica
Lineage: Bacteria; Pseudomonadati; Pseudomonadota; Gammaproteobacteria; Enterobacterales; Enterobacteriaceae
Description: partial 23S ribosomal RNA
Rfam family: Bacterial large subunit ribosomal RNA
Source: RNAcentral